GACGAACGCUGGCGGCGUGCUUAACACAUGCAAGUCGAACGAUGAAGUUCCUUCGGGAAUGGAUUAGUGGCGAACGGGUGAGGAACACGUGAGAAACCUGCCUUUCAUUUUGGGAUAACUCCGGGAAACCGGGGCUAACACCGAAUACUCCGUCUCGGCGGCAUCGCUGAGCCGGGAAAAAAUUUUGAUGAAAGAUGGUCUCGCGGCCUAUCAGCUAGUUGGUGAGGUAAUGGCUCACCAAGGCAACGACGGGUAGCCGGCCUGAGAGGGCGACCGGCCACACUGGGACUGAGACACGGCCCAGACUCCUACGGGAGGCAGCAGUGGGGAAUAUUGGGCAAUGGGCGCAAGCCUGACCCAGCGACGCCGCGUGAGGGAUGAAGGCCUUCGGGUUGUAAACCUCUUUCAGUAGGGAGGAAGCGAAAGUGACGGUACCUAAAGAAGAAGCACCGGCUAACUAUGUGCCAGCAGCCGCCGUAA
This 480-nucleotide ribosomal RNA is filed under the name uncultured bacterium. RNAcentral describes it as "partial 16S ribosomal RNA". It matches the Rfam family "Bacterial small subunit ribosomal RNA", at positions 28 to 523 of the family's 1533-position model. The record is from RNAcentral.